Ursus americanus (American black bear) is the source of this 69-nucleotide unclassified non-coding RNA. The record is from Ensembl. NCBI's taxonomy places the organism in Eukaryota, Metazoa, Chordata, Mammalia, Carnivora, Ursidae.
CACCCGAGAGUAAUUUCCCUUUCUUUAGUCACCUUACCGCCACUGAUGAAGCUAGACGGUUGCGGAUAU